ACUUGUAAUAAAUACACAAAUUUGAACACAAAUAAUUCAUCUAUCAGGUCUAGCUUAUAUAUGUUUCAGUUGAAAGAGUUUACUUCACUGGCUAAGCCUACUGUAGCAGCUUUGGUUGCUUCUGGAAUUAUUGUCACAACUGGACGUACGGCGAUGGUAAUUGCUUGUGUCGGUUAUUUGACCUUGGAAAUUAAUGACACCAGCUGUAAGAAAAAUACUUUAUCAGAUUUAUAUAUUUUUAGCUGAAAGAGAUACUAAUUUAAAUUUGUUAAGUCAAAAAAAUCUUAUAGAAAAUAAUUUUUAAAAAAUAUUGCAAGGUACACCUUAAUAUAAUUAACAUUUGGGGCUUAAAAUAUGUGUCUUAUCAUAUAGAAUUAUUUAAAUAUUACUAAUUGAAAAUUUCCAAGAAAAAUAUCAAAAACGUUGUUGUGGUUGUAAAAAAAAUAUCUAGAUUUAAUAUAAAUGCCCUCAAAAUCAGGCAAAGUUACCAUUGUCCCUGCCCUUGUGGGUUGUGGCGUGGGUCUAUGUUUUCCGCUGGCGUAUUCCCAUCUCCGACACGGCUUCGUCUCUAUUUUCCAACAUUUCUAGGGAAUUCCUACUAAUGGGAUUGAAGACUGACCAGUGAAUUUCUGCAGGACACGUAUCACUUGAUCCCAUAAACUAUCAGUCACCUUAAAGUCCUUCAAAAAUUAUAAAAUAGAACGAUUGUAUGAUCUAUGGUAUAAUAAGUUAAUAGAUAUAAAAAUAAUUAUUUUAAAAUAAAUAUUAAUUAAUUACUAUAUUUUAAAAAGUUUACCCAUUUACUUUUUUAGAGUAUAUUUCUAUUUAUCCAAUUUUUAUUUAACCUGUAUAAUUACUGCCUUCCAUGCCCGCUCAAAUUUCCUCUGCAUACUAGUCAUCUGUCAUCCAAUGAGUCGUAUGCAGGUGGCUUUCAUAAGGCUUGAAAAGUUUCUCUUGACAGCAUCGCACUCAAAUCGUUUGAAUGGUAAGUUUGCUUCCAUUUGAUUCACAUUUUGAAUUGAAUUGAGAACCUACUUCUUCAAUCGGACGGACAAUUUCCACGUGAGACCAGGAUCAGACCGUCGAAGGUGGGUUACACCAGUUGGUUGGACCCAUACCCAGUAACCCAUGGAUGGAGAAAGCGGAAAGAAAAUUCAACCAUGUACACGAAACAGUUGACUAGAAAUAUAAUCUCGAAAAGGUGAGUUCGCCCUAGUAGAAUUGCUCCAUUAACAUAUCUCUUAUAAACCAACGCAAAACAGGACAAGGAAAACAGAACCAGAAAUGAGAAUCCAUACCCGGUUAGUCUCUUCUCUCAUCUUCUUUCUUUCUUUUAAUUAUAUUCUCAACUGUUUGCAAGCUCAGCCAGAGCCAAGCACCCAAGGAUUUACUUGCACG
RNAcentral lists this long non-coding RNA (1398 nucleotides) under Manihot esculenta (cassava). Its description in RNAcentral is "long non-coding RNA (MESC_LNC008850)". The record is from RNAcentral. Lineage: Eukaryota; Viridiplantae; Streptophyta; Magnoliopsida; Malpighiales; Euphorbiaceae.